GGUCAAGUUAUUAAGGGUGCAGGGCGGAUGCCUUGGCACUAGGAGCCGAUGAAGGACGUGAUAAGCUGCGAUAAGCUUCGGGGAGUUGCACGUAAACUUUGAUCCGAAGAUUUCCGAAUGAGGAAACUCACUUAGAGUAAUGUCUAAGUAUCAUUAAGUGAAUACAUAGCUUAAUGAGGGGAACUCAGGGAACUGAAACAUCUAAGUACCUGAAGGAAGAGAAAGAAAUUCGAUUCCGUAAGUAGCGGCGAGCGAACGCGGAUUAGCCCAAACCAAUAAAGUUUUCUUUAUUGGGGUUGCGGACAUAUCAUAACGAAGAGGUAUCGUAAUUGAAGAGGUUUGGAAAGACCCACCACAGAAGGUAAUAGUCCUGUAUGUUAAACGAGAAGACUUCAGAUAUGAUCCAGAGUACCACGGGACACGUGAAACCCUGUGGGAAGCAGGAGGGACCACCCUCCAAGGCUAAAUACUACCUAGUGACCGAUAGCGUAUAGUACCGUGAGGGAAAGGUGAAAAGAACCCCGGGAGGGGAGUGAAAUAGAACCUGAAACCCUGCACUUACAAGCUGUGGAAGCACAUUUCUUGUGUGACCGCGUACUUUUUGUAGAACGGGCCAACGAGUUACGUUAAGUAGCAAGGUUAAGCACUUAAGGUGUGGAGCCGUAGCGAAAGCGAGUUUUAACUGAGCGUUCAGUUACUUGACGUAGACCCGAAACCGGGCGACCUACCCAUGAGCAGGAUGAAGCGAAAGUAAAAUUUCGUGGAGGUCCGAACCCACGAGCGUUGAAAAGCUCGGGGAUGACUUGUGGGUAGCGGUGAAAUUCCAAUCGAGCCCGGAGAUAGCUGGUUCUCCCCGAAAUAGCUUUAGGGCUAGCCUCAAGGUGAGAGAUACGGAGGUAGAGCACUGAAUGUCCUAGGGGGUAUUGCACCUACCGAAGACUAUCAAACUCCGAAUGCCGUCAUCUUAUACUUGGGAGUCAGACUGUGGGUGAUAAGAUUCAUAGUCGAAAGGGCAACAGCCCAGAUCGUCAGCUAAGGUCCCUAAAUGUAAGUUAAGUGGUAAAGGAUGUGGGAUUGCACAGACAACCAGGAUGUUGGCUUAGAAGCAGCCACUCAUUCAAAGAGUGCGUAAUAGCUCACUGGUCGAGUGAUCCUGCGCCGAAGAUUUCCGGGGCUAAAACUUACUACCGAAGCUACGGCAUCAGUAAUGAUGGGUAGGGGAGCUUCCCAUACGGGUUGAAGCAUGACCGUAAGGACAUGUGGACAGUAUGGGAGUGAGAAUGUUGGCAUGAGUAGCGAGAUGUGGGUGAGAAUCCCACAGGCCGUAAACCCAAGGUUUCCAGGGGAAGGUUCGUCCGCCCUGGGUUAGUCGGGACCUAAGCUGAGGCCGAAAGGCGUAGGUGAUGGACAACAGGUUGAUAUUCCUGUACUACCGAUAACCGUUUGAGAGAAGGGAUGACACAGUAGGAUAAGCUAAGCACACUGUUGGUUAUGUGUGCCCAAGCAUUGAGGCAGUCAAAGUAGGCAAAUCCGCUUUGAUAAUGCUGGGAUGUGAUGGGGAGCGAAAUUUAGUAGCGAAGUAGCUGAUUUCACACUGUCAAGAAAAGUCUCUAUCGAGGUUAAAGGUACCCGUACCGCAAACCGACACAGGUGGGUGAGGAGAGUAUCCUAAGGCCAGCGAGAGAACUGUUGUUAAGGAACUCGGCAAAAUGACCCCGUAACUUAGGGAUAAGGGGUGCCACCAUCAGGUGGCCGCAGAGAAUAGGCCCAAGCGACUGUUUACCAAAAACAUAGGUUUCUGCUAAGUCGCAAGACGAUGUAUAGGAGCUGACGCCUGCCCGGUGCUGGAAGGUUAAGGGGAUCUGUUAGAGCAAUCGAAGCAGUGAACUUAAGCCCCAGUAAACGGCGGCCGUAACUAUAACGGUCCUAAGGUAGCGAAAUUCCUUGUCGGGUAAGUUCCGACCCGCACGAAAGGCGUAACGAUUUGGGCACUGUCUCAACAACAGACUCGGUGAAAUUGUAAUUCCGGUGAAGAUGCCGGAUACCUGCGACAGGACGGAAAGACCCCAUGGAGCUUUACUGUAGCUUGACAUUGGGUCUUGGUACUACAUGUACAGGAUAGGUGGGAGGCUUUGAAACCAGGACGCCAGUUUUGGCGGAGCCAUCCUUGGGAUACCACCCUUGUAGUACUGGGACUCUAACCAUAGGCCAUGAAUCUGGUCUUGGGACACUGUCAGGUGGGCAGUUUGACUGGGGCGGUCGCCUCCCAAAAGGUAACGGAGGCGCUCAAAGGUUCUCUCAGUACGGUCGGAAAUCGUACGUAGAGUGUAAAGGCAAAAGAGAGCUUGAUUGCAAGACAUACAGGUCGAGCAAGGAUGAAAAUCGGACUUAGUGAUCCGGUGGUUCUGCGUGGAAGGGCCAUCGCUCAACGGAUAAAAGCUACCCUGGGGAUAACAGGCUUAUCUCCCCCAAGAGUCCACAUCGACGGGGAGGUUUGGCACCUCGAUGUCGGCUCAUCACAUCCUGGGGCUGUAGUAGGUCCCAAGGGUUGGGCUGUUCGCCCAUUAAAGUGGUACGCGAGCUGGGUUCAGAACGUCGUGAGACAGUUCGGUCCCUAUCCGUCGCAGGCGUAGGAAAUUUGAGAAGACCUGUCCUUAGUACGAGAGGACCGGGAUGGACGUACCUCUGGUGUACCAGUUGUUCUGCCAAGGGCAUGGCUGGGUAGCUAUGUACGGAAUGGAUAAGCGCUGAAAGCAUCUAAGCGCGAAGCCAA
Molecule: ribosomal RNA, 2773 nt
Filed under: Clostridioides difficile
Lineage: Bacteria; Bacillati; Bacillota; Clostridia; Peptostreptococcales; Peptostreptococcaceae
Description: partial 23S ribosomal RNA
Rfam family: Bacterial large subunit ribosomal RNA
Source: RNAcentral